GAAUUCGCCCUUAGAGUUUGAUCCUGGCUCAGGAUGAACGCUGGCGGCGUGCCUAACACAUUCAAGUCGAACGGAUUUAGAUAAAAGCUUGCUUUUGUCUAAGUUAGUGGCGGACGGGUGAGUAACGCGUGAGCAACCUGCCCUCAUGAGUGGAAUAACGUCCGGAAACAGACGCUAAUACCGCAUAACAUAUGACUGAGGCAUCUCAGACAUAUCAAAGAUUUAUUGCUGAAAGAUGGUCUCGCGUCUGAUUAGCUAGAUGGCGGGGUAACGGCCCACCAUGGCGACGAUCAGUAGCCGGUCUGAGAGGAUGAACGGCCACAUUGGGACUGAGAUACGGCCCAGACUCCUACGGGAGGCAGCAGUGGGGAAUAUUGGGCAAUGGGCGAAAGCCUGACCCAGCAACGCCGCGUGAAGGAAGAAGGCCUUCGGGUUGUAAACUUCUUUUAGCAGGGGCGAAUAAAUGACGGUACCUGCAGAAAAAGCAACGGCUAACUACGUGCCAGCAGCCGCGGUAAUACGUAGGUUGCAAGCGUUGUCCGGAUUUACUGGGUGUAAAGGGCGUGUAGGCGGAGAUGCAAGUUGGGAGUGAAAUCCCGGGGCUCAACCCCGGAACUGCUUUCAAAACUGCAUCCCUUGAGUAUCGGAGAGGCAAGCGGAAUUCCUAGUGUAGCGGUGAAAUGCGUAGAUAUUAGGAGGAACACCAGUGGCGAAGGCGGCUUGCUGGACGACAACUGACGCUGAGGCGCGAAAGCGUGGGGAGCAAACAGGAUUAGAUACCCUGGUAGUCCACGCUGUAAACGAUGAAUACUAGCUGUUGGCGAUACAAUGUCAGCGGUAAAGCGAAAGUGUUAAGUAUUCCACCUGGGGAGUACGCCGGCAACGGUGAAACUCAAAGGAAUUGACGGGGGCCCGCACAAGCGGAGGAACAUGUGGUUUAAUUCGAUGAUACGCGAGGAACCUUACCCGGGCUUGAAAGUUAGUGAAUGACUUGGAAACAGGUCAGUCCUUCGGGACACGAAACUAGGUGCUGCAUGGUUGUCGUCAGCUCGUGCCGUGAGGUGUCGGCUUAAGUGCCUUAACGAGCGCAACCCUUGUUGUUAGUUGCCAUCAGGUAAUGCUGGGAACUCUAACAAGACUGCUACUGUAAGGUAGAGGAAGGUGGGGAUGACGUCAAAUCAGCACGGCCCUUACGUCCGGGGCGACACACGUUUUACAAUGGUCGGUACAGAGGGUUGCUACCUGGCGACAGGAUGCUAAUCUCAUAAAACCGAUCUCAGUUCGGAUCGGAGUCUGCAACUCGACUCCGUGAAGCUGGAUUCGCUAGUAAUCGCGCAUCAGCCAUGGCGCGGUGAAUACGUUCCCGGGCCUUGCACACACCGCCCGUCA
Molecule: ribosomal RNA, 1389 nt
Filed under: uncultured bacterium
Lineage: Bacteria
Description: bacterial SSU rRNA
Rfam family: Bacterial small subunit ribosomal RNA
Source: RNAcentral